AAUUCUUUGUAUGAGAUGGUGAAGACUUUCAGAUGUUCCUCAUUAACAGGUUAUUAAGACAAUGUUUUACAGUGGAACGAGGAUGCAUCCAUUACAUUUGUUCAUAACUGCUUUAUUUAUAGGUGUUAAGUGUGCAGAAGUAACUCAACCACCUCACGUGAAAGUUUUGGAAGGGACAGAAGUCACAAUAUUUUGCAAUCAUUCUGUAAGUGCUGCUUACAAUACCUUGUGGUAUUCUCAAAUGGUUUAUGAUGGCCCUAAACUCGAAAUCCAGAACUAUGAUGGAAAUAAAAAUGAAAGUCGAUUUAUAUUAUAUGUCGACAGAAAAGCAAUGACAACAAACCUAACCAUAAAGGAUGUAACAAUCGCAGACACAGGUGUUGUUUAUUACUGUGCAGUGAGUGACACAGUAAAACAAAACCAAGCAACUGCAACGCCAUAAA
Non-coding RNA from Protopterus annectens (West African lungfish), 443 nucleotides. Lineage: Eukaryota; Metazoa; Chordata; Ceratodontiformes; Protopteridae. The record is from the annotation of a RefSeq genome assembly.